Molecule: transfer RNA, 122 nt
Filed under: Candidatus Woesearchaeota archaeon
Lineage: Archaea; Nanobdellati; Candidatus Woesearchaeota
Description: tRNA-Gln
Source: RNAcentral
AGCCCCGUAGUGUAGCGGUCAAUCAUCCGAGAUUUUGGGUCUUGGGACCUCGGUUCGAAUUGUAGAGAAGGUCGGCAAAAGCCGAGAGGUCUCUUCCCUACACGUGUGUCCGAGCGGGGCUA